UACGGGGGGAGCAAGCGUUGUUCGGAUUUACUGGGCGUAAAGGGCGCGUAGGCGGCGUGACAAGUCACUUGUGAAAUCUCCGGGCUUAACUCGGAACAGGCAAGUGAUACUGUCGUGCUAGAGUACAGAAGGGGCAACUGGAAUUCUCGGUGUAGCGGUGAAAUGCGUAGAUAUCGAGAGGAACACCUGCGGCGAAGGCGGGUUGCUGGGCUGAUACUGACGCUGAGGCGCGAAAGCCAGGGGAGCGAACGGG
RNAcentral lists this ribosomal RNA (253 nucleotides) under uncultured bacterium. RNAcentral describes it as "partial 16S ribosomal RNA". It matches the Rfam family "Bacterial small subunit ribosomal RNA", at positions 524 to 776 of the family's 1533-position model. The record is from RNAcentral.